Molecule: long non-coding RNA, 1757 nt
Organism: Heterocephalus glaber (naked mole-rat)
Lineage: Eukaryota; Metazoa; Chordata; Mammalia; Rodentia; Bathyergidae
Source: Ensembl
GUGAAACCACUGAGCUAAAUCCCCGGCCCUGUGGCCACAUUUUUAAUAAACUUAAUUUAAAACAGCUCCAUUUUCAAUCAGUUGGCUUAGAAGAAGCAUAUGUAACCUUUGUCAGAAAUCUAACCUUUUCUUAUUGAAAAUUUAUUUUUUUAAAAAAAUUUUAUUUAUUUUUGAGACAGAGCCUGGGCUUGAAUUCACUAUGUAGCCCAGGCUGGCUGAGAACUCGCGGCAAAUCCUCCUGCCUCAGCCUCCCAAGUGCUGGGAUCACAGAUAUGCAUCACCAUGCCCGCCCCAACUUUUUAAAAACUUCUAUAAUGACAUUAAAAAUUUUUUAUUUUUGGCUUUUUGAGAUACAGUCUUGCUAUGUAGUUUGGGCUGGUCUUCAACUAUGUAGCCCAGGCUGGCCUUGAGCAAUCCUCCUGCCUCAGGCUCCUGUGCUGGUAUUACAGGCAGCUAAAUUAGAUAGAAAUAAAUACACAGUACAUUCAGAGGGGGACUGGGUUAUCAAAGAAGUCAGUGAAGCAGGGGAAGGCAUUAGAAUCGUAGCUGGAGGCGCAUCUGAAGAAGGCCAGGCCUCAAGGUAGAGAUGCAAUGGCCAGGCCUGCAGGCCUCCCUAAGGGAUAAAUAAUAAUUGUGAGAUCACAUUGUGAUUAGCACCACCUGGUGCAGGAAGUCCAGAUGGGCAUCGGUUGCCCAGGUGGGUGACAGAGCACUGGACCUUCCCUUCCCAAACUGCCUCUGUUCUUCCCAUCCACCCUUGCUGUGUGACUCGCUUCCCUGCUGCAUCAGUACCAGCUCAGCAGCUGUGGUUGUGUGACCCAUGCUGCACCCACCUCGUGUCUUUGCCGUAGAAAUUACCCCUGACAAAGGAUCAGUGGCCACCCCACUUGGGACCCCUCCUGCAAAUCCAGGAGCUAUUCUUCUCCCCUUAUUUCCAAUAAAACUUUGCUAACUUCUUUUGGUUUGCAACUUCAUUUCUCAAUGCUGUGGGACCACGAACUCGGCACAUCUGACACCCAGCAGGUCGGGAGUUACAGUUCUCCUUUGUCACCAGGAUUCAGAUGUGCGCCACAGUGCCAUUCUAGUAACUGCACACCAGACAAGGACUCCACUAUGUAGCCCAGGCUGGCCUUGAACUCACCAUGUAGCCUUGGCUGGCCCCAAACUCACAGCCUACCUCCUGCCUCAGCUUCCUGAGUGCUGGCGCCACCACACUCGGCCUACACCGCCUAUCGUUUUGAAUUCCUGCCAUUGUUCCAGGGCCUGGUGAUAAGGCAGUGAACUAAACAGACAAAAAUUCUUACCCUCCAGGAGCUUAAAUUCUAGUGGGAAGAGACAGAUAAACAGCUCGAAGGACAAUUUACACGGAACAUUAAAAUGGAGCACAGGGCGCUUACAGAGAUCAGAAAGAGGUGGGAUGCAACUGCUUCGCCAGCGUUUAACCUGUGAGAAAAACAGACCGGUCGGGGCCACUUCGCGCGUCCCUUCCAGACGCGACUGGAGUCGAGGCGGGGCACUGGGUCCCAGACUUCCCUUCUCCCGCGCCACCUAGGAACCUACAGGAUUGGGCAGUGUGAUUAACAAUAAGCGUUUAUGAGUAGAAGGGAGGGUGUGAGAGACACGAGAAUAAAGUGAGAAGGGGGUAAGGAAGAUGGGAGGGACGUAGUGAUCAGAAUAUAUGCAAAUAUGCAAGUACCACACCGAGCCCAGUAUUACGCAAAAUUAAUGUAAAACCAAUAAAAUAUACCUGAAAGAGG